GUGUGUUUAGUUCGCGAAAGAAAUUAUUAAACGUGGGAACUAAACAAGAUUAACUGUUCGGCCAUAUGCUCACUUCGAUAUUAAAUUUAUUAUUUGUGGGGGAGGGCUCAUCACAGUGGCAAGCCCAUGCCACUGGGGCCCUCGCGCGUCGCCCAGGCGUUGCACUGCUGCCCGGGCCUGGCGCACCCAAC
This 191-nucleotide small nuclear RNA is filed under the name Oryza sativa Indica Group (long-grained rice). Its description in RNAcentral is "U2 spliceosomal RNA". Lineage: Eukaryota; Viridiplantae; Streptophyta; Magnoliopsida; Poales; Poaceae. The record is from RNAcentral.